RNAcentral lists this ribosomal RNA (753 nucleotides) under uncultured Glomeromycotina. RNAcentral's name for it is "SSU rRNA". It matches the Rfam family "Eukaryotic small subunit ribosomal RNA", at positions 338 to 1092 of the family's 1831-position model. The record is from RNAcentral. Lineage: Eukaryota; Fungi; Glomeromycota.
GGCCUACCAUGGUAGUAACGGGUAACGGGGUGUUAGGGCACGACACCGGAGAGGGAGCCUGAGAAACGGCUACCACAUCCAAGGAUGGCAGCAGGCGCGCAAAUUACCCAAUCCCAACACGGGGAGGUAGUGACAAUAAAUAACAAUACGGGGUCCUUUCGGGUUUCGUAAUUGGAAUGAGUACAAUUUAAAUCACUUAACGAGGAACAAUUGGAGGGCAAGUCUGGUGCCAGCAGCCGCGGUAAUUCCAGCUCCAAUAGCGUAUAUUAAAGUUGUUGCAGUUAAAAAGCUCGUAGUUGAACUUCGGGACCAGUGGGUUGGUCGUGCCUCCGGUACGUACUGGCCCUACCGGUUCCUCCCUUCUGACGAACCACGAUGUCAUUAAUUUGGUGUCGUGGGGAAUCAGGACUGUUACUUUGAAAAAAUUAGAGUGUUUAAAGCAGGCUAAAGCUUGAAUAGAUUAGCAUGGAAUAACGAAAUAGGACGUUUGAUCUUAUUUUGUUGGUUUCUAAGAUCGACGUAAUGAUUAAUAGGGAUAGUUGGGGGCAUUAGUAUUCAAUUGUCAGAGGUGAAAUUCUUGGAUUUAUUGAAGACUAACUACUGCGAAAGCAUUUGCCAAGGAUGUUUUCAUUAAUCAAGAACGAAAGUUAGGGGAUCGAAGACGAUCAGAUACCGUCGUAGUCUUAACCAUAAACUAUGCCGACUAGGGAUCGGAUGAUGUUAAUUUUUUAAUGACUCAUUCGGCACCUUACG